CACAUCUCGAAGAGCCUCUGCGACGCCUGUCGUCAUCUACUCCUGAAGUAGACCUCCCCUCGGUCUCCAGCAUCUCUGGCCCAGGUUCUGGCCCGGAGAAAUCAGCCUUCUGGGGAUGUCCCUGGCCCUGAAUGCUGGAAGAGCCGGAAGCUUCCCCACGUAGGGGGGCAGCGCAGUUCGCCCCAAGAUCCCAGAGAAGCUGAGCACCCCCGCCUAUGCACCCCACCCAUCCCUAAACCCUGACGGGUGAGGAGAGUGGGGGAGAUCUUGCAGACAGCAUCCCCCAUACCUCCUCUCCCCCACCCCACCCUGCCAAGUAAACACGGGGACUUUCUCGAGAGCCCUGGAGAGCGGCUCUAGUGGCUUGGGGCCUGAAACCCCAGGCUUGGCUUGUUUGAUGUUUAGCAUCCCAAAGCGGCACACCACCCCCUCCCCAGCCUGGGAACUUGGAGCUGUGGGUCGGAGAGGGAGGAAAGCAGCCCUCUCAGUCGGCCAGGCCGGGGACUGGACUGGGUUCUGGAAAGGCGAGAAGAGCCGGUCAGAGAUGCUCUGAGCAGGGGAGAAGGGAGACCCGGCUGCCGCGCCCCCCCCCCCCCCCAACAGAGACACUUGUGGGUACAGCUGGAGUUGUCAAGGCCUGGAGGUUGUUUCUUCAGGAUCAGGCACAGAGACUGACUGAAUGGCUCCAAUGAUCAGGAUUUGAAAACCUAAUAUCAGAAUCUGCUGUUUUGUCAGCUACUUGAAAUACUUUAUCAGUGAAAGUCUUGACUCAGCAAACAUACAUGUAAGAACGUGGAGCAGUUACCUACAGAGUCCAUUGUUCACCUGUUUAUCCUGGAUUUAGAACUAUUUCUUAUGUUUGCUGAUGUCUGAGAGGCUAUGGCUUACUCCAUUUAUACCCAGGUUGGUAUACACAUUCACUCAUUUCUUCAUUCAUUUACACAUUUAUUUAUUCAUUCACUUUGUUAUUUGUGGCAUACAGAUGCGUAUGUAGCCCUCAGUGAGCCCUGCUUUCUGGUGUUUACCCAUGUGUGUGGGCAGGACAUAUGACUUGCUUCUAACCAACAGAAUAUAGUAAAGGUGACGAAAUGUCCCCUCUGUGAUUGAUUACAUAAUAAAGACUCUGUCUUGUUCGAAGACUCAAUCUAGAGAGUGUCCUUGCUGGCUUGAUGAGAUAAGCGGCCAUGUUGGGGAAAACCCCAUGGUGAGAAACUGUGGACAGUUUCCAGACAACAGCCAGGAAGAAGCUGGGAUCCUUGAUCUUAGAGCUGCCGGGAAAUGAAUUCUGCCAAGAAUGUGAGUGAACUUGGAAGGUAUUUCUUCCCCAGUUGAGCCUCCAGGUGGGAACACAGUCCAGAUGAUACCUUGCUUGCAGUCUUGUGAGACCGUAAGUAGAGGGACCAUCUAAGCCAUGCCUUCACCUGUAGAAACUGUGAAAUGAUAAAUGGCUAUUGCUUUUAGCUACUAAGUAUGUGUUAAUUUGUUGUGCAGCUAUAGAAAAUGAAUACACUGUGCUGUGCUAACUACCAUAUAGGCCUUCUCUCAGUACCUGAAGUAGCCUCAUGAGCCUGACACUAAUAUUAUUCCCAUUUUACAGAUGAAGAAACUGAGGCUCAGGAACUGAAUGCAGAAUGUCCUGCUCUCAACCACUGAACUAUCAUGCUAUGUUUCAUUUUUAAUGUAUUUCAUUAUUUCACAAAUUCAAAUUUAUCAUGGUUUAAAACUUAUCUCCUGAACAUGCCAACUGUAUUUACAAAAAGGCCUACUAGGCACACCUAGUACACAAAAUAAAUG
Molecule: long non-coding RNA, 1794 nt
Organism: Neofelis nebulosa (Clouded leopard)
Lineage: Eukaryota; Metazoa; Chordata; Mammalia; Carnivora; Felidae
Exons: 4
Source: RefSeq, a predicted model, not a curated record